RNAcentral lists this non-coding RNA (32 nucleotides) under Mus musculus (house mouse). Lineage: Eukaryota; Metazoa; Chordata; Mammalia; Rodentia; Muridae. The record is from RNAcentral.
UGGAGCCUGCUUUGCUCAGUUCAUGGGCAGUU